RNAcentral lists this ribosomal RNA (428 nucleotides) under uncultured bacterium. RNAcentral describes it as "bacterial SSU rRNA". It matches the Rfam family "Bacterial small subunit ribosomal RNA", at positions 355 to 774 of the family's 1533-position model. The record is from RNAcentral.
UGAGGAAUUUUGCGCAAUGGGGGAAACCCUGACGCAGCAACGCCGCGUGAGUGAUGAAGGCUUUCGGGUCGUAAAGCUCUGUCAAGUGGGAAGAAACUGGAAGAUGCUAAUAUCAUCUUUCACUGACGGUACCACUGAAGGAAGCACCGGCUAACUCCGUGCCAGCAGCCGCGGUAAUACGGGGGGUGCAAGCGUUAUUCGGAAUCAUUGGGCGUAAAGGGCGCGUAGGCGGUCUCUUAAGUCAGGUGUGAAAGCCCGGGGCUCAACCCCGGAAGUGCACUUGAAACUAAGGGACUUGAGUAUGGGAGAGGGAAGUGGAAUUCCUGGUGUAGCGGUGAAAUGCGUAGAUAUCAGGAGGAACACCGGUGGCGAAGGCGACUUCCUGGACCAAUACUGACGCUGAGGCGCGAAGGCGUGGGGAGCAAACA